AUGAACGCUGGCGGCGUGCCUAAUACAUGCCAGUCGCGCGAACAGACGAGGAGCUUGCUCCUCUGACGUUAGCGGCGGGCGGGUGAGUAACACGUGGAUAACCUACCUAUAAGACUGGGAUAACUUCGGGAAACCGGAGCUAAUACCGGAUAAUAUAUUGAACCGCAUGGUUCAAUAGUGAAAGACGGUUUUGCUGUCACUUAUAGAUGGAUCCGCGCCGCAUUAGCUAGUUGGUAAGGUAACGGCUUACCAAGGCAACGAUGCGUAGCCGACCUGAGAGGGUGAUCGGCCACACUGGAACUGAGACACGGUCCAGACUCCUACGGGAGGCAGCAGUAGGGAAUCUUCCGCAAUGGGCGAAAGCCUGACGGAGCAACGCCGCGUGAGUGAUGAAGGUCUUCGGAUCGUAAAACUCUGUUAUUAGGGAAGAACAAAUGUGUAAGUAACUAUGCACGUCUUGACGGUACCUAAUCAGAAAGCCACGGCUAACUACGUG
This 496-nucleotide ribosomal RNA is filed under the name uncultured bacterium. Its description in RNAcentral is "partial 16S ribosomal RNA". It matches the Rfam family "Bacterial small subunit ribosomal RNA", at positions 29 to 507 of the family's 1533-position model. The record is from RNAcentral.